This is a non-coding RNA of Leptosomus discolor (cuckoo roller), 313 nucleotides long. NCBI's taxonomy places the organism in Eukaryota, Metazoa, Chordata, Aves, Leptosomiformes, Leptosomidae. The record is from RefSeq and is a predicted model, not a curated record.
AACUCAAGUAACAAGGGAGGAAAACUGAGCGAGAACUUCUCAGAGCUAAAAAAAGGAAGUGGAGCAUCCUUGGCACAGACAAGUUCAGAGUCUCUGUUGGAUCCUCAGCAAAUCCAAGCUUUUGACCAACUCUGCCGACUCAACCAAGGAGCCUCCAGACUAGCUCUCCUGACAGAGCUGUCUCGAGGCCACGGCGGGGAGAAGCAUGGGCUGCUCAGCAUUUCCCACGGUGACUCGACCACCAGCAGUGUCUUCCAGAACGAGAACUUCCAGCUCCGCCUGGCCCCCCCUCCACUGGCUGAAGACUAGCGCU